UACGUAGGGGGCAAGCGUUGUCCGGAAUCAUUGGGCGUAAAGCGCGUGUAGGCGGCUGGCUAAGUCCGCUCUGAAAGCCCGGGGCUCAACCCCGGGAGGCGGGUGGAUACUGGUCAGCUCGAGUCCGGAAGAGGAGUGUGGAAUUCCAGGUGUAGCGGUGAAAUGCGUAGAUAUCUGGAGGAACACCGGUGGCGAAGGCGGCAUCCUGGACCGACACUGACGCUGAGGAGCGAAAGCCAGGGGAGCAAACGGG
Molecule: ribosomal RNA, 253 nt
Filed under: uncultured bacterium
Lineage: Bacteria
Description: partial 16S ribosomal RNA
Rfam family: Bacterial small subunit ribosomal RNA
Source: RNAcentral